UACGGAGGAUGCAAGCGUUAUCCGGAUUUAUUGGGUUUAAAGGGUGCGUAGGCGGCUUAGUAAGUCAGCGGUGAAAUUUUGCAGCUUAACUGUAACAGUGCCGUUGAUACUGCAUGGCUAGGAUUUGGUUGCUGUGGGUGGAAUGUGUGGUGUAGCGGUGAAAUGCUUAGAUAUCACACAGAAUAUCAAUUGCGAAGGCAGCUCACAAAGCCAAGAUUGACGCUGAGGCACGAAAGUGUGGUGA
Molecule: ribosomal RNA, 244 nt
Filed under: uncultured prokaryote
Description: partial 16S ribosomal RNA
Rfam family: Bacterial small subunit ribosomal RNA
Source: RNAcentral